Molecule: ribosomal RNA, 2934 nt
Filed under: Bacillus amyloliquefaciens
Lineage: Bacteria; Bacillati; Bacillota; Bacilli; Caryophanales; Bacillaceae
Description: 23S ribosomal RNA
Rfam family: Bacterial large subunit ribosomal RNA
Source: RNAcentral
CGGUUAAGUUAGAAAGGGCGCACGGUGGAUGCCUUGGCACUAGGAGCCGAUGAAGGACGGGACGAACACCGAUAUGCUUCGGGGAGCUGUAAGCAAGCUUUGAUCCGGAGAUUUCCGAAUGGGGAAACCCACCACUCGUAAUGGAGUGGUAUCCAUAUCUGAAUACAUAGGAUAUGAGAAGGCAGACCCGGGGAACUGAAACAUCUAAGUACCCGGAGGAAGAGAAAGCAAAUGCGAUUCCCUGAGUAGCGGCGAGCGAAACGGGACCAGCCCAAACCAAGAGGCUUGCCUCUUGGGGUUGUAGGACACUCUGUACGGAGUUACAAAGGAACGAGGUAGAUGAAGAGGUCUGGAAAGGCCCGCCAUAGGAGGUAACAGCCCUGUAGUCAAAACUUCGUUCUCUCCUGAGUGGAUCCUGAGUACGGCGGAACACGUGAAAUUCCGUCGGAAUCCGGGAGGACCAUCUCCCAAGGCUAAAUACUCCCUAGUGACCGAUAGUGAACCAGUACCGUGAGGGAAAGGUGAAAAGCACCCCGGAAGGGGAGUGAAAGAGAUCCUGAAACCGUGUGCCUACAAGUAGUCAGAGCCCGUUAACGGGUGAUGGCGUGCCUUUUGUAGAAUGAACCGGCGAGUUACGAUCCCGUGCAAGGUUAAGCAGAAGAUGCGGAGCCGCAGCGAAAGCGAGUCUGAAUAGGGCGAAUUGAGUACGUGGUCGUAGACCCGAAACCAGGUGAUCUACCCAUGUCCAGGGUGAAGUUCAGGUAACACUGAAUGGAGGCCCGAACCCACGCACGUUGAAAAGUGCGGGGAUGAGGUGUGGGUAGGGGUGAAAUGCCAAUCGAACCUGGAGAUAGCUGGUUCUCUCCGAAAUAGCUUUAGGGCUAGCCUCAAGGUAAGAGUCUCGGAGGUAGAGCACUGAUUGGACUAGGGGCCCCUACCGGGUUACCGAAUUCAGUCAAACUCCGAAUGCCGAUGACUUAUCCUUGGGAGUCAGACUGCGAGUGAUAAGAUCCGUAGUCGAAAGGGAAACAGCCCAGACCGCCAGCUAAGGUCCCAAAGUAUACGUUAAGUGGAAAAGGAUGUGGAGUUGCUUAGACAACCAGGAUGUUGGCUUAGAAGCAGCCACCAUUUAAAGAGUGCGUAAUAGCUCACUGGUCGAGUGACUCUGCGCCGAAAAUGUACCGGGGCUAAACGUAUCACCGAAGCUGCGGACUGUUCUUCGAACAGUGGUAGGAGAGCGUUCUAAGGGCUGUGAAGCAAGACCGGAAGGACUUGUGGAGCGCUUAGAAGUGAGAAUGCCGGUAUGAGUAGCGAAAGAGGGGCGAGAAUCCCCUCCACCGAAUGCCUAAGGUUUCCUGAGGAAGGCUCGUCCGCUCAGGGUUAGUCGGGACCUAAGCCGAGGCCGAAAGGCGUAGGCGAUGGAUAACAGGUUGAUAUUCCUGUACCACCUCCUCACCAUUUGAGCAAUGGGGGGACGCAGGAGGAUAGGGUAAGCGCGGUAUUGGAUAUCCGCGUCCAAGCAGUUAGGCUGGGAAAUAGGCAAAUCCGUUUCUCGUGAAGGCUGAGCUGUGAUGGCGAGCGAAUUAUAGUAGCGAAGUUCCUGAUUCCACACUGCCAAGAAAAGCCUCUAGCGAGGUGAGAGGUGCCCGUACCGCAAACCGACACAGGUAGGCGAGGAGAGAAUCCUAAGGUGAUCGAGAGAACUCUCGUUAAGGAACUCGGCAAAAUGACCCCGUAACUUCGGGAGAAGGGGUGCUCUGUUAGGGUGCAAGCCCGAGAGAGCCGCAGUGAAUAGGCCCAGGCGACUGUUUAGCAAAAACACAGGUCUCUGCGAAGCCGUAAGGCGAAGUAUAGGGGCUGACGCCUGCCCGGUGCUGGAAGGUUAAGAGGAGCGCUUAGCGUAAGCGAAGGUGCGAAUUGAAGCCCCAGUAAACGGCGGCCGUAACUAUAACGGUCCUAAGGUAGCGAAAUUCCUUGUCGGGUAAGUUCCGACCCGCACGAAAGGCGCAACGAUCUGGGCACUGUCUCAACGAGAGACUCGGUGAAAUUAUAGUACCUGUGAAGAUGCAGGUUACCCGCGACAGGACGGAAAGACCCCGUGGAGCUUUACUGCAGCCUGAUAUUGAAUGUUGGUACAGCUUGUACAGGAUAGGUAGGAGCCUUGGAAACCGGAGCGCCAGCUUCGGUGGAGGCAUCGGUGGGAUACUACCCUGGCUGUAUUGACCUUCUAACCCGCCGCCCUUAUCGGGCGGGGAGACAGUGUCAGGUGGGCAGUUUGACUGGGGCGGUCGCCUCCUAAAAGGUAACGGAGGCGCCCAAAGGUUCCCUCAGAAUGGUUGGAAAUCAUUCGCAGAGUGUAAAGGCACAAGGGAGCUUGACUGCGAGACCUACAAGUCGAGCAGGGACGAAAGUCGGGCUUAGUGAUCCGGUGGUUCCGCAUGGAAGGGCCAUCGCUCAACGGAUAAAAGCUACCCCGGGGAUAACAGGCUUAUCUCCCCCAAGAGUCCACAUCGACGGGGAGGUUUGGCACCUCGAUGUCGGCUCAUCGCAUCCUGGGGCUGUAGUCGGUCCCAAGGGUUGGGCUGUUCGCCCAUUAAAGCGGUACGCGAGCUGGGUUCAGAACGUCGUGAGACAGUUCGGUCCCUAUCCGUCGCGGGCGCAGGAAAUUUGAGAGGAGCUGUCCUUAGUACGAGAGGACCGGGAUGGACGCACCGCUGGUGUACCAGUUGUUCUGCCAAGGGCAUCGCUGGGUAGCUAUGUGCGGACGGGAUAAGUGCUGAAAGCAUCUAAGCAUGAAGCCCCCCUCAAGAUGAGAUUUCCCAUUCCGCAAGGAAGUAAGAUCCCUGAAAGAUGAUCAGGUUGAUAGGUCUGAGGUGGAAGUGUGGCGACACAUGGAGCUGACAGAUACUAAUCGAUCGAGGACUUAACCAAUUU